This 3252-nucleotide unclassified non-coding RNA is filed under the name Chelonus insularis. Its description in RNAcentral is "monocarboxylate transporter 4-like, transcript variant X1". The record is from RNAcentral. Lineage: Eukaryota; Metazoa; Arthropoda; Insecta; Hymenoptera; Braconidae.
UCCUGCUCUAUAAAGCUUGUCGGUUACCAAACUUUGAGGUUAAAUACUUUAGCAAAAUGGUUUACUAUUUAUCAACAAAAACAAACACUUGAUACCAGCUGGUAUUUGACUUGUGAAAUGUCAUUAAUGAGCGUAAUAAUAGUUUUUAUGGCUUGAGUUUGUUGGAUAUUAUAUAAAAAAUGGAACUGUAAUACAAAUAACACGUACAUUUAGUAAUUCUUUACAUGUUAGUCGUGGUUCAAGGGAAUGCUAUUAUUUAUUUAUAAAUAAAAUUACAGGACAAAUUGAAAACAGUCAUCAAGAUUUUUCAAUGACAACCUCCGGAUACCGGAAUGGAUUCUGCAGAUAAUAUAAAUUUAAACAGCUCUUCUGAAAAAGGAGAUCAAUGUGCAUCUAAAAGUAUUGGUGCCAAUGAGCUCCCAGAAAAGAUGAAAAAGGUCGAGGUAAAGCCAAAAGACUCUCCUACGAGUAUUUUGGCUAAGAGUUCCGUUUUAUUGCCAACUGGAGUAGCACGUGUAAAACAGAUAUCUGCUGUGCAAUCUGGACCAAUAAAAAGCUCUAUGACUAGCACAGGUUCUGCUACUGGUAACCCAAGAAAUAAAACAGCUCUAGCACCUGGUCACAGUUUGAUGGAUUGGAUUCGCCUCGGUUCCUCGGGUGUUGAUCUUACUGGAGUCGGAGGAGUUUAUCAAGUCGUCACGCCAGCUGAGCUCGCUAAACAUAAUGAACGAAACGACGCUUGGAUUGCAAUAAGAGGUAUUGUGUUCAAUAUAACAAGAUACAUGGAUUUUCACCCUGGAGGUGUGGAUGAAUUAAUGAGAGGUGUCGGCAAAGAUGCAACGAAGCUUUUUGAAGACGUCCAUGCGUGGGUUAAUUACCAGAGCAUUUUACAAAAGUGUAUUGUGGGCAGAUUGAGCAGAAGUGGACCAGUAGAAAUUGAUUCUACUCUAGAAAAUAAUAAGAAACCUACAUCUAAAUUAUCUCCACUUGUCGUUGGUGUGCGAAAUUUAGAACAGAAUGAAAAAUCAAUAACCGUGGCACCGAAACUUCAAAGCGAUUGGAAACAAACUACAAACACUGUUUCGUUUGUCUAUAAAACAACGGGAAAUCAAUCUCCUGGUUUUCAACUAAUACGAGAAAGUGAAAUGGAAUUCAACAUAAAAAUUUGUCUACAGAAUAGUAUAGUAAAACACGAGUAUGAUCUCACUGAAGGUGUUGAAUGGCCACCCAAAUGGGAACAAAACUUUGCAUCGAUGGAAACCACAUUUAUUUUCACAAAAUUAAAUGGAUCAUUGUGGAAAUCGUACGGUAGCAGAACUGUUGUUAAUGAAAUGAAAAACUCUGAGCGAAGUUAUAGAUCAUGGGAAAUUGUCAGCAAUACUUUACUAUGUGAUGAUGUUCAUCUUUUGGUCACAAAGUCGAAGGAUUAUCUAGAAAUCAUUCCUGUUGGCCAUCAUGUUGAAGCAAAAAUGAAUGUGAUGGGUGUAGAAGUUUCAAGGCCAUAUACACCAGUUCCACCUUGUCUCCAUCCUGCAAACAAACCGCCUGAAUACACACCAGAUUGUUUAUGUUUAAUAAUAAAAAAAUACAAUGAAGGUACUUUAAGUCCGUCCGUAACAGCCCUAAAGCAUGGGCAAACCUUCUCUAUAAGUAGUGGAUUGGGAACAUUUGUAGUUGAGUCCUAUGAUAAAUAUUCUACCAUUCACAUGCUUGCUGCCGGCACUGGAUUGACACCAAUGCUUGGAAUCAUUCAACGAGCACUUGGCAAACGAAAUGUGAGUACGAUAAACCUUUUAAAUUUUAAUAAAGAAGAGAAAAAUAUUUUUUAUGGUCCUCAGUUAGCGAAAGUAUGCGAAGACAAAAGGUUGAAAGUCAUUCAUAUUUUAUCACAAGCUGAUGAUAGUUGGAGUGGAAAACGUGGAAUUGUGUCUGAAGUAUUAUUAAAGGAAUUAAUCGGUGACGCUGUUAAUCAGAGCUGUAUUUUUACAUGUGGUCCUAAACCUUUUAUGGCUGUGGCUGAAGAAGCUCUUCAAAAAUUAGGAUGGAAAGCUACACAAAUUUAUGAAUUUUAUGGGUAAUACGUGUAUCUUACCACUAAAACAACACCAAAACAAUCAUGAAAGUAAUGGUAUUCCGAUAGACAAUUGUCCUAUAAAAAUAAUUUAAUCAAGAAUCUUAUAGUCUGACCUCUCUCAGUUGAGAAAUGUGAUCCAACAAAUUAGUACAAUCAAUAAUUACCAAUAGAGCAAUGAUUACUGAACUAGUAAAGAAAUUUAUUAUUAUAUAUGCACUUGUGAUUGACGCAGAAUUUUAAAUACAGCAGAUGGCAUCAUUAAUGUAUUUAUAGUCGUGAAGAUUGACUUAAUAGUUUUCCUGUAAGAACAAGUCAUUAAGCAUCGAAGAGGAAAGUUUGACAAUGAUAAAGUUUAUACUGAAGUUGAUUUUCUUCUGACCCCAUAUCGUGGUUAUUGAUCGCAAGCUGUGAAACUUCUUUCCGCAAUAUGACGCGACGACCGUUCUCGCUUAUGAGCGAGCGACCGAGACGGAUUUCUUUUGGCUUCUCAUCUAGUAUGCAUGUCAGACAGGAAGGAACAAGGGAGUCUAAAGUGGAUGGUAGACUUAUGUGGUAUGACGAUGAAAAAAGGAAAAUAAAAAAAAGUGGUGGAUAGACUCUUCGGUGGUUCCCGUCGGCGACGGCGACAGCAAUUGCAAAGAAAAGGGAGCGUGAGAAAGUGGGAGGAAGCGCUAGUGGGGGCGAGUUAGCGGGGUGCAAGAUGGAGAAGGGAAUGCACAGGGAUGCUGCUUUCAGUCGCGCGGCAGCCCUCGUUCUGAUUAGGCGGCUCCACUAUGAAAGGAAGCAGUUGGACAAAAUAGCGCAGACUACGUACGUGAGCCAUAUGAAGAUUUAAUGUAUUUCCAAUAUUUUGUGGAUUCACGGGACGGCUUGGGAACACCUGCUAGCGAUCUAAAGACUUGCGACGUUUUUCAUCUGUCGACGUUAAAUGAUGCAGAGGAAAGCAGAAUUCGUGAUUGAAUGAAUCAAAAACGAAGUAGAAAAAUUUAAUCAACUGCAAACGAGAAUGCAGUGAUAAUAAAGCACUGUAAGUCAUAAAGUGAAUGAAGAUGAUCGAGAAGAAAAGAAAAUGGAGAAAGUACAACGUUCAAAGAUUUUUACGGUAUUCGAUUAGCAAACGAAUGUGGGUAGUAAAGAAAAAUCAUUACGGAAGUAAUAAAGUAGUUCUAAUGUCGCAC